This 390-nucleotide ribosomal RNA is filed under the name uncultured bacterium. Its description in RNAcentral is "bacterial SSU rRNA". It matches the Rfam family "Bacterial small subunit ribosomal RNA", at positions 30 to 418 of the family's 1533-position model. The record is from RNAcentral.
AUUGAACGCUGGCGGCAUGCCUUACACAUGCAAGUCGAACGGCAGCACGGGAGCAAUCCUGGUGGCGAGUGGCGAACGGGUGAGUAAUAUAUCGGAACGUGCCCAGUCGUGGGGGAUAACGUAGCGAAAGCUACGCUAAUACCGCAUACGAUCUACGGAUGAAAGCGGGGGAUCGCAAGACCUCGCGCGAUUGGAGCGGCCGAUAUCAGAUUAGGUAGUUGGUGAGGUAAAGGCUCACCAAGCCGACGAUCUGUAGCUGGUCUGAGAGGACGACCAGCCACACUGGGACUGAGACACGGCCCAGACUCCUACGGAGGCAGCAGUGGGGAAUUUUGGACAAUGGGCGCAAGGCCUGAUCCAGCAAUGCCGCGUGCCAGGGAUGAAGGCCUU